CAGUCGCCGCGGUGAUACGAAGGGGGCUAGCGUUGUUCGGAAUUACUGGGCGUAAAGCGCACGUAGGCGGAUAUUUAAGUCAAGGGUGAAAUCCCAGAGCUCAACUCUGGAACUGCCUUUGAUACUGGGUAUCUUGAGUAUGGAAGAGGUAAGUGGAAUUGCGAGUGUAGAGGUGAAAUUCGUAGAUAUUCGCAGGAACACCAGUGGCGAAGGCGGCUUACUGGUCCAUUACUGACGCUGAGGUGCGAAAGCGUGGGGAGCAAACAGGAUUAGAUACCCCAGUAGUCCCUGUCUCUUAUAA
Molecule: ribosomal RNA, 301 nt
Filed under: uncultured bacterium
Lineage: Bacteria
Description: partial 16S ribosomal RNA
Rfam family: Bacterial small subunit ribosomal RNA
Source: RNAcentral